Molecule: ribosomal RNA, 384 nt
Filed under: marine copepod environmental sample
Lineage: Eukaryota; Metazoa; Arthropoda; Copepoda
Description: partial small subunit ribosomal RNA
Rfam family: Eukaryotic small subunit ribosomal RNA
Source: RNAcentral
AGCUCCAAUAGCGUAUAUUAAAGUUGUUGUGGUUAAAAAGCUCGUAGUUGGAUUUCGGCGGGUAGAGGUUGGUUUGGAUUGAUUCAACACUGGCUUUUUUACCCGUGUGUUUUGCCCGGAUUUUUUGGGUGAUUUUUAACGAAUGUUCGUUGGAACUGGCAGGUUUACUUUGAAAAAAUUAGAGUGCUCAAAGCAAGCUUACUGCUUGAAUAGUUGCGCAUGGAAUAAUAGAAUAGGAAGUCGUUUCUAUUUUGUUGGUUUUCGGAAAUCGACUUAAUGAUUAAUAGGGAUAGUCGGGGGCAUUCGUAUUCAAACGACAGAGGUGAAAUUCUUGGACCGUUUGAAGACGAACUAAGGCGAAAGCAUUUGCCAAGAAUGUUUUCA